GGGGCCCGCACAAGCGGUGGAGCAUGUGGUUUAAUUCGAUGCAACGCGAAGAACCUUACCUGGGCUUGACAUCCCGGGAAUCCCUUGGAAACAAGGGAGUGCCCUUCGGGGAACCUGGAGACAGGUGCUGCAUGGUUGUCGUCAGCUCGUGUCGUGAGAUGUUGGGUUAAGUCCCGCAACGAGCGCAACCCCUAUUGUUAGUUGCCAUCAUUCAGUUGGGCACUCUAGCGAGACUGCCGGUAAUAAACCGGAGGAAGGUGGGGAUGACGUCAAAUCAUCAUGCCCCUUAUGACCUGGGCUACACACGUGCUACAAUGGUUGGUACAACGAGUUGCGAGUCGGUGACGGCGAGCUAAUCUCUUAAAGCCAAUCUCAGUUCGGAUUGUAGGCUGCAACUCGCCUACAUGAAGUCGGAAUCGCUAGUAAUCGCGGAUCAGCACGCCGCGGUGAAUACGUUCCCGGGCCUU
This 467-nucleotide ribosomal RNA is filed under the name uncultured Smithella sp. RNAcentral's name for it is "bacterial SSU rRNA". It matches the Rfam family "Bacterial small subunit ribosomal RNA", at positions 916 to 1382 of the family's 1533-position model. Lineage: Bacteria; Pseudomonadati; Thermodesulfobacteriota; Syntrophia; Syntrophales; Smithellaceae. The record is from RNAcentral.